RNAcentral lists this ribosomal RNA (574 nucleotides) under Colletotrichum gloeosporioides. RNAcentral's name for it is "eukaryotic LSU rRNA". The stretch from base 203 to 356 matches the Rfam family "5.8S ribosomal RNA". Lineage: Eukaryota; Fungi; Ascomycota; Sordariomycetes; Glomerellales; Glomerellaceae. The record is from RNAcentral.
UCCGUAGGUGAACCUGCGGAGGGAUCAUUACUGAGUUUACGCUCUACAACCCUUUGUGAACAUACCUAUAACUGUUGCUUCGGCGGGUAGGGUCUCCGUGACCCUCCCGGCCUCCCGCCCCCGGGCGGGUCGGCGCCCGCCGGAGGAUAACCAAACUCUGAUUUAACGACGUUUCUUCUGAGUGGUACAAGCAAAUAAUCAAAACUUUUAACAACGGAUCUCUUGGUUCUGGCAUCGAUGAAGAACGCAGCGAAAUGCGAUAAGUAAUGUGAAUUGCAGAAUUCAGUGAAUCAUCGAAUCUUUGAACGCACAUUGCGCCCGCCAGCAUUCUGGCGGGCAUGCCUGUUCGAGCGUCAUUUCAACCCUCAAGCUCUGCUUGGUGUUGGGGCCCUACAGCUGAUGUAGGCCCUCAAAGGUAGUGGCGGACCCUCCCGGAGCCUCCUUUGCGUAGUAACUUUACGUCUCGCACUGGGAUCCGGAGGGACUCUUGCCGUAAAACCCCCAAUUCUCCAAAGGUUGACCUCGGAUCAGGUAGGAAUACCCGCUGAACUUAAGCAUAUCAAUAAGCGGAGGA